UGGAGUGGGAAGUAGCGCUUCUCAUAGCUGCAGUUAGUUACUACUGCGCCCGAGGCAAGCCCAGAAAAUUGCAGGGAAAAGUGGGGGAAGAAUCCUGCACCACCCAUCUUCUCCUGAUUAGAUCUCCCCCGAGGAUAACUAACAGUCCCUGCACUAGUCCUGCCUGAUUUUUGGAUAUAGGGACUCUUGGAGCUGUGACUGCCCCUAAAUAUCUUAAUCCAACUGGAGAAAUAAGUCUAAUACAUGGAUGCCUUACCUGUAUGACCUACACCUUUCAGGAUCUACUGAGAAUGUUUUGAUAUUCGAAUCUACAGGUUACCUUCAGAGGACUAGUGAAGUCCGAACCUUGACUUGUCAGAGCUGUUCUGAUGGAAUGAGUGGGAGCUACAUAAUAUAAGGCGAAACACAAGAUGUGAAGUUGAUGAAAGGAAUGGAGCUAGAAGUUGAAAGAGGAUCAGAGUUAAGUGACAAUAGCAUAUUACAGCAAUGUUGAGUUCAGGAACAGCCAGGACACAGAACCAAGCAUGGGAGACGAUGGACAGAAUAAGAAUAAAACCAGUGGAGCCAAGAGUUUUACCUGUAGUCAGAGCCAUGGAAAUAAAGGCUAUAAAAAGACAUGAGGGUUAUAACUGAUACCCAGAAAGGUAAUAAAUGGGCUUUCAACUACCGUUCUUCAUUUGCUCCAAAUUUGCUAAAAUUAUUUGCCACUUAGGCUC
Long non-coding RNA from Hyla sarda, 716 nucleotides. RefSeq lists it as uncharacterized. The record is from RefSeq and is a predicted model, not a curated record. The transcript has 4 exons. Lineage: Eukaryota; Metazoa; Chordata; Amphibia; Anura; Hylidae.